UUGGAGGGCAAGUCUGGUGCCAGCAGCCGCGGUAAUUCCAGCUCCAAUAGCGUAUAUUAAAGUUGUUGCAGUUAAAAAGCUCGUAGUUGUAUUUCGGGGCUAGUAGGUUGGUCAUGCCACUGGUAUGUACUGGUCUCACUGAUUCCUCCUUCCUGAUGAGACGUGAUGCCAUUAAUUUGGUGUUGCGAGGAAUCUGGACUGUUACUUUGAAAAAAUUAGAGUGUUUAGAGCAGGCUAACGCUUGAAUACAUUAGCAUGGAAUAAUGAAAUAGGACGUUCGAUCUUAUUUUGUUGGUUUCUAGGAUUGACGUAAUGAUUAAUAGGGAUAGUUGGGGGCAUUAGUAUUCAAUUGUCAGAGGUGAAAUUCUUGGAUUUAUUGAAGACUAACUACUGCGAAAGCAUUUGCCAAGGAUGUUUUCAUUAAUCAAGAACGAAAGUUAGGGGAUCGAAGACGAUCAGAUACCGUCGUAGUCUUAACCAUAAACUAUGCCGACUAGGGAUCGGAUGAUGUUAAUUUUAUAAUGACGCGUUCGGCACCUUACGGGAAACCAAAGUGUUUGGGUUC
This 565-nucleotide ribosomal RNA is filed under the name uncultured Glomeromycotina. RNAcentral's name for it is "SSU rRNA". It matches the Rfam family "Eukaryotic small subunit ribosomal RNA", at positions 548 to 1114 of the family's 1831-position model. Lineage: Eukaryota; Fungi; Glomeromycota. The record is from RNAcentral.